Molecule: non-coding RNA, 87 nt
Filed under: Desulfosporosinus lacus
Lineage: Bacteria; Bacillati; Bacillota; Clostridia; Eubacteriales; Desulfitobacteriaceae
Also listed under: 1 other name
Description: c-di-GMP sequence
Rfam family: c-di-GMP-I riboswitch aptamer
About the family: GEMM was predicted in a large-scale screen for bacterial structured RNA regulatory elements. Genes associated with GEMM are involved in a diverse array of functions, including chemotaxis regulation, signal transduction, secretion and chitin.
Source: RNAcentral
UAAUGUAAGGGGCAAAACUGUUGAAAGACAGUGACGCAAAACUGAGGGUCAAAGGUACUAUUGUAGUAGUGCUAGCUGGUUACCGAA